Molecule: ribosomal RNA, 174 nt
Filed under: uncultured actinomycete GT37-3
Lineage: Bacteria; Bacillati; Actinomycetota; Actinomycetes; Actinomycetales
Description: partial 16S ribosomal RNA
Rfam family: Bacterial small subunit ribosomal RNA
Source: RNAcentral
CCUACGGGAGGCAGCAGUGGGGAAUAUUGCACAAUGGGCGCAAGCCUGAUGCAGCGACGCCGCGUGGGGGAUGACGGCCUUCGGGUUGUAAACCUCUUUCAGCACAGACGAAGCGCAAGUGACGGUAUGUGCAGAAGAAGCACCGGCCAACUACGUGCCAGCAGCCGCGGUAAU